This 1059-nucleotide long non-coding RNA is filed under the name Coturnix japonica (Japanese quail). RNAcentral describes it as "lncRNA (ENSCJPG00005006695.1)". Lineage: Eukaryota; Metazoa; Chordata; Aves; Galliformes; Phasianidae. The record is from RNAcentral.
UGCAACAGUCAGCGGCACGAAACGGCGACGGGAAGGGAAACAAACCCCCACGAGCUCCGGCUGCCGAGCAGGCACCACAGCGAGCACAGCCCCCACAACAGGCGACGCCUCCGAGCCCACGGCGCGUCCCGGUGCCGAGCGGCACAGCACGGCACCCCGAGGCACCCGCCGAGCCCGGCACUCGGGGCGCUUCGCGGGUGGGACACGGGGGCAGCGGGGGCAGGUGCAGGGCGGCGGGAGCGCCCAGAAGAGAACGAGGGAGGAGGGGGACGUCCGGCGCCGGUGGGACGCUUAUCCCGACGCGCUCCCCAGCCCCGAGCCCACCCGCCCCGAGCCCCGCAGCCGCCCGCCAGCACUCACCGCUUCGCCGGCCGCCGCGGGACCCUCAGGGCGGCGGGGCCGCCGCGCUCAGCGGCCGCGGCAGCCGGGAGGCGCCCAGGCUGUGCAGCCCGCCACCCGCGCGGGGCGGAGCGGGGCGGGACGGGGCGGGGCGGCCGCGGGCGGGUCCCGGGGCUCUCCCGGCUGCUGGAGCGGAGCCGCUGGGCCGGGGCUGCGGGAGGCGCUGGGACCGAGCGGAGCGGGAUCGUCUCUUUUUUUCUUGCUGUUAUUCUGAUUUGUUUCCUUGUUUCCCCGCUGUGCUCACCGUGUGGAGCUGCCGCACGUUGGGCCCCUUUUGCCCGGUUGCCUCGGGGCACAUCCGCGAUUCUCCCGAGUCCCGUUUCCCCAGGUCGGGAGGAGCGGUGCUGUGCCCGCAACCAGCCCCAGGCACCGGCUCAGCGCGGGAUCCGCCGAUCCGCGUUUAAUCCGGCUCCGUAAACACCACAUCGCUGGGUCUGACAUCCAGCUCCGGCAGGGAGACCAGCACGAAGUGCUGCCAGCUGAGCAGAGCGGGGCCCGGCAGAGCGGGGCGGCUGCGGGCAUCAGCAGCCACCAGCACAGGCCUCGUCAUGAGCCGUCAGAGAUUUGUCCCAUGGCAGCGUGUCCUUCCAGGAAGGUGACACCUUUGGGCCUGACCCUGAACCCUGAAUCACAGAAUCACAGAAUGACCCGGGUUGGAAG